GACGAACGCUGGCGGCGUGCCUAAUACAUGCAAGUAGAACGCACAGUUUAUACCGUAGCUUGCUACACCAUAGACUGUGAGUUGCGAACGGGUGAGUAACGCGUAGGUAACCUGCCUGGUAGCGGGGGAUAACUAUUGGAAACGAUAGCUAAUACCGCAUAAUAUUGAUUAUUGCAUGAUAAUUAAUUGAAAGGUGCAAUUGCACCACUACCAGAUGGACCUGCGUUGUAUUAGCUAGUAGGUGAGGUAACGGCUCACCUAGGCGACGAUACAUAGCCGACCUGAGAGGGUGAUCGGCCACACUGGGACUGAGACACGGCCCAGACUCCUACGGGAGGCAGCAGUAGGGAAUCUUCGGCAAUGGACGAAAGUCUGACCGAGCAACGCCGCGUGAGUGAAGAAGGUUUUCGGAUCGUAAAGCUCUGUUGCAAGAGAAGAACGGGUGUGAGAGUGGAAAGUUCACACUGUGACGGUAUCUUACCAGAAAGGGACGGCUAACUACGUG
This 505-nucleotide ribosomal RNA is filed under the name uncultured bacterium. RNAcentral describes it as "partial 16S ribosomal RNA". It matches the Rfam family "Bacterial small subunit ribosomal RNA", at positions 28 to 507 of the family's 1533-position model. The record is from RNAcentral.